RNAcentral lists this transfer RNA (71 nucleotides) under Necturus beyeri (Gulf Coast waterdog). RNAcentral's name for it is "tRNA-Ser". It matches the Rfam family "tRNA". Rfam says of the family: Transfer RNA (tRNA) molecules are approximately 80 nucleotides in length. Their secondary structure includes four short double-helical elements and three loops (D, anti-codon, and T loops). Lineage: Eukaryota; Metazoa; Chordata; Amphibia; Caudata; Proteidae. The record is from RNAcentral.
AAGGAAGUGACAGAUCGGCUAUGUGAUUGACUUGAAAUUAAUUUAAGUGGGUUCAACUCCUACUUUCCUUG